Long non-coding RNA from Agelaius phoeniceus (red-winged blackbird), 316 nucleotides. RefSeq lists it as uncharacterized. The record is from RefSeq and is a predicted model, not a curated record. Lineage: Eukaryota; Metazoa; Chordata; Aves; Passeriformes; Icteridae.
UGCAGGAUCUGAAGAGGAUUCUUCAAGAAUUAACAAGCUCAGACAGUGAACUUCCCUCUGUGGAUCUCAGCAGCCAUGGUGGGAGAAAAUGCCCUUUAACAACCAUAAGGAAUGCAGGCUUCUCAGCCCAUGGAAACUAGUGAGCCCACAUCAAAGAGGCUACAGAACAAGAUGGAGAGCCUGCAAAACCUGGUGGAAUCAUCACAGAUAAAAAAACAAGCCAUGUCUCCAAUGAGCAGAACUCAGGAGGUGAAGACAAAGAAAUGCAAGGAAAAGGAGAGAAAGCUGUCCAAGUGAAGGCACUGUAUGCAUUAGU